RNAcentral lists this ribosomal RNA (360 nucleotides) under uncultured Enterobacter sp. RNAcentral describes it as "bacterial SSU rRNA". It matches the Rfam family "Bacterial small subunit ribosomal RNA", at positions 37 to 400 of the family's 1533-position model. The record is from RNAcentral. Lineage: Bacteria; Pseudomonadati; Pseudomonadota; Gammaproteobacteria; Enterobacterales; Enterobacteriaceae.
UGGCGGAGGCUACCAUGCAUGUCGAACGGUACAGGAAGCAGCUUGCUGCUUGCUGACGAGUUCGGACGGGUGAGUAAUGUCUGGGAAACUGCCUGAUGGAGGGGGAUAACUACUGGAAACGGUAGCUAAUACCGCAUAACGUCGCAAGACCAAAGAGGGGGACCUUCGGGCCUCUUGCCAUCGGAUGUGCCCAGAUGGGAUUAGCUAGUAGGUGGGGUAACGGCUCACCUAGGCGACGAUCCCUAGCUGGUCUGAGAGGAUGACCAGCCACACUGGAACUGAGACACGGUCCAGACUCCUACGGGAGGCAGCAGUGGGGAAUAUUGCACAAUGGGCGCAAGCCUGAUGCAGCCAUGCCGC